CCUACGGGUGGCAGCAGUGAGGAAUAUUGGUCAAUGGGCGUAAGCCUGAACCAGCCAAGUCGCGUGAGGGAUGAAGGUUCUCUGGAUCGUAAACCUCUUUUAUAAGGGAAUAAAGUGCGGGACGUGUCCCGUUUUGUAUGUACCUUAUGAAUAAGGAUCGGCUAACUUCGUGCCAGCAGCCGCGGUAAUACGGUGGGUCCGUGCGUUAACUGGAUUUAUUGGGUUUAAAGGGUGCGUCGGCGGCCUUGUAAGUUAGCGGUGAAAGUCCGGGGCUCAACCAGAGAAUUGCCGUUGAUACUGGGAGGCUUGAGUAUGUUAGAGGCAGGCGGAAUUCGAGGUGUAGCGGUGAAAUGCGUAGAUAUCACGCAGAACCCCGAUGGCGAAGGCAGCCUGCCAGGCCAUUACUGACGCUGAUGCACGAAAGCGUGGGGAUCAAACAGGAUUAGAUACCCCUGUAGUC
This 460-nucleotide ribosomal RNA is filed under the name uncultured bacterium. RNAcentral describes it as "partial 16S ribosomal RNA". It matches the Rfam family "Bacterial small subunit ribosomal RNA", at positions 338 to 795 of the family's 1533-position model. The record is from RNAcentral.